UACGUAGGGGGCAAGCGUUGUCCGGAUUUAUUGGGCGUAAAGAGCGUGUAGGCGGCCAGGCAGGUCCGUUGUGAAAACUCGAGGCUCAACCUCGAGACGUCGGCGGAAACCCUCUGGCUAGAGUCCGGAAGAGGAGAGUGGAAUUCCUGGUGUAGCGGUGAAAUGCGCAGAUAUCAGGAAGAACCCGCGGGGCGAAGGCGGCUCUCUGGGACGGUACUGGCGCUGAGACGCGAAAGCGUGGGGAGAAAACAGG
RNAcentral lists this ribosomal RNA (253 nucleotides) under uncultured bacterium. RNAcentral describes it as "partial 16S ribosomal RNA". It matches the Rfam family "Bacterial small subunit ribosomal RNA", at positions 524 to 776 of the family's 1533-position model. The record is from RNAcentral.